UAAUACAUUACAACUUUCAGCGGUGGAUGUCUAGGUUCCCACAACGAUGAAGAACGCAGCGAAAUGCGAUACGUAAUGCGAAUUGCAAGACCUCGUGAAUCAUCAAGAUUUUGAACGCACAUUGCGCUUUCGGGUAUUCCCGGUAGCAUGCUUGUCUGAGUGUCUGUGGAC
This 171-nucleotide ribosomal RNA is filed under the name Pseudo-nitzschia pungens. RNAcentral's name for it is "5.8S ribosomal RNA". It matches the Rfam family "5.8S ribosomal RNA". From Rfam's summary of the family: 5.8S ribosomal RNA (5.8S rRNA) is a component of the large subunit of the eukaryotic ribosome. It is transcribed by RNA polymerase I as part of the 45S precursor that also contains 18S and 28S rRNA. Lineage: Eukaryota; Bacillariophyta; Bacillariophyceae; Bacillariales; Bacillariaceae. The record is from RNAcentral.